RNAcentral lists this ribosomal RNA (301 nucleotides) under uncultured bacterium. Its description in RNAcentral is "partial 16S ribosomal RNA". It matches the Rfam family "Bacterial small subunit ribosomal RNA", at positions 509 to 809 of the family's 1533-position model. The record is from RNAcentral.
CAGUAGCCGCGGUAAUACGGAGGGUGCGAGCGUUAAUCGGAAUUACUGGGCGUAAAGCGUGCGCAGGCGGUUCGUUAAGACAGAUGUGAAAUCCCCGGGCUUAACCUGGGAACUGCAUUUGUGACUGGCGAGCUAGAGUAUGGCAGAGGGGGGUAGAAUUCCACGUGUAGCAGUGAAAUGCGUAGAGAUGUGGAGGAACACCAGUGGCGAAGGCGACUCUCUGGACAAUAACUGACGCUGAUGCACGAAAGCUAGGGGAGCAAACAGGAUUAGAUACCCGUGUAGUCCCUGUCUCUUAUAA